Molecule: long non-coding RNA, 4739 nt
Filed under: Brassica rapa (field mustard)
Lineage: Eukaryota; Viridiplantae; Streptophyta; Magnoliopsida; Brassicales; Brassicaceae
Description: long non-coding RNA (BRAP_LNC003413)
Source: RNAcentral
CGGGAUUUAACGGAGUAGCCCUCACCUUAGCAAUAGGGAAAUGUGGUAUCUAUGAACUCCAGAUGCUCAAAUAGACUCCAAAUCUGAAAUCAGGGCGAAAAAUCGAGUCAGAACGCCUUUCGAACGGUUUAAAACGGGUCUGGUCAAGGUUUAUGGAAAAGUCAAUUCGAUGGUCAAAGGUCAAUCCGGUCAACCCUUGACCAGAAAUCAAUUUGUCCUAACCGACCGGUUUACCCUAACCGAAACGAAAUCAAUUUAAACCGGUCAAACCAGUCAAACCAGCGGUUAACCGAGUCAACCGAGUUGACUCACCGGGUCGACUCAGCCGAGUUGGCGAGUCGUCGGCGAGUCACCGGCGACGGUCACCGACGGCGACGGCGAUGGCUUACCGGUGGUGACGGCGGACGACGGCGGCGACAGAAGGCGGAGCACGGCGACAGCGACGGCGUUCCGGUGGUGGUCUGGCGGCGGAGACGAUUUCUGGCGGCGGCGCGUGUAACUCACGCGCGCACAGAGGCGAAACUUCCGGAUGCUCUAGCGGCUUCGUCCGGACUCCGAUUGCGGCGUGGUCGGUGGCUACGGCUUCGUCUCGACGAGAGGAACACGAUGGUGGCUCUGCAUGCGCGAGAUUCUCAACGGUUAAGAAGAUAUGGCCGAUAUACUGAACGGACGAAAACAAAGCUUAAGAGGCGGCGGUUUCCGACGAUACUCAGCUGCGGUUGAUGGUGAUGACGAGCUUGACGAUGUCCUGGCGUGCGGUGGCUCCGGCGAGGACUCCUGGUGGCAGCAUGCAGUGGUUCCUAUCUUUCUUUCUCUCACUCUCUCUUUUUCACUUCUUCUUCUCUCUAACUUUUCUGAUUUCUUUUUGAUGCAGGUGGAGAAAACAAUGUGAAAAUGGGGUAUUUAUAAACAAACAUUUUAGUUUUGAUGUAUUGCUUGGGCCUUAGCCGGCUAACGAGUUCCGAGAUCGAAAUUCGGAUCGUUACAAUUCUCCCCCACUUAUAAGGAAUUCGUCCCCGAAUUCAAGUCAUAAUCUGACAUGUCCAAUGUCAUCGUAACAAAACCUCGAAUAAUAAUCCUUGCUCGGCUCAGGUCUCCUCUUGAAUCUUAUUCCUCCCAACGAACCUUGACCAACAUCGUCACUAGAUACAUGGUCACCACUCCCUAGACUGAUUUCACUUGCUGACCAAUAAAGAGAUAUGUUCCCAUAUAUUUUGGUUAAGCUUCUUUAGAUUCCGAAUCUUUGAUUCUUCUUGAAACAUCCUCCUUCAGAUUUAUUAGGUCGCCAACUUCAAAAUCCAAAUCCUUACGGCGCUUAUCCACGUAACUCUUCUGACGGUCAUGGGCUUCCUAACCUAAGCUUCGAGCAUUUCCAUUUGCUCUACCGUCUCUUGAAUCAUUGCUGAUUCCAUCUCACGUCUCUCCCCCACUUUGGUCCAACAAAGUGGUGUACGACUAGACCCACCAUAAAAACCUCGACGAUACCAUCAUAAUACUCAAAUGAUAACAGGUAUAUCGCGAUGAAUCUUGAUCGUUCCCAAGCUCUCCAUAACAACAAUCUGAAUCUGCUUAUAUUUCGGUUAGAAGAUCCCCCAAAAAAAAACUAAAACUUAACCAAACGCGAACUCACAAAACUAUAAAAAGCUCUUAAGUCAAAUAAGGUGUGAGGUAACUCACACCAACCACAACCAAUCAUACACGAGAUUCACUAAUCUCGAACUAUACAAGAUAACCACAAAACCACAAAUAUUAACACAAGCAAGUAUGUUAAGAACACAUACCCGCUAUCGGCUCAGCUCCAUGGGGAUCUCCAACCGCAAACGCACGUGGAGCGAUGGCUAGACGCUUCGGUGGUGGUGGAAGUGCCGCAUUGCCCCUCCUCGGGCAAUCUCUGAUGAAGUGACCUGGAUGACCACAGCCAAAGCAGACAUGUGCCGCUGCUGGUGCUGCUGGUGCUGCAAUCUGUCUGACUGGUGGCGCAACCUGAGCAUCAAAUAGCCUACUCCGACAAACCCUACUCUUAUGUCCCAUCUUUCCACAGUAAAAGCACUGUAUGCUCGGUUUGUCCCAUGUCCUCUGCUGUGCCUCUGAAGUCCCUCCAAACUUAGGCUGAACUGCCUUGGAGUACUUCUGCUCCUCUGCCAAACCUGCCUCCUGCUCGGCAGCCUUCUCCACCAAAUCUCCCAAUCUGUGAUAAGUGACGACACGGCACCUGUUGCGAAUCUCCACUCGCAUCCCAUUCAAAAAUUUUCUCAUCAGGUCUUCCUCUAAAAUGCCCUCUCCAGCAAAUCUGCGAAGUUGGUUAAACACAACCUCAUACUCCCUGAUAGACAUCUCACCCUGGCUUACAUGCUCGAACUCGCAUUUCUUCCUAUCCAUAGCUUCCUUCGGAAAGUAUUUCCUAUCGAACUCUCGGAUGAAGUCUGCGAAGGUAAGCCUCUCUGGCCCAAGGUGACUCAAUCGUAUUCCCUCCCACCAUAUAAGAGCAUCUCCACGAAGGUACUGCAUAGUCAAUCUGAGCGACAACUCUGGUGGACACUCAAUAAUCUCCAGCUUCCGCUGCAAGGCUAACUUCCAAUCAUGUGCAGCUACAGCAUCCACUGUCCCACUAAAAUGCUCCAUAUCCAUGUUCCUCAUCUGACGCGUCAGCCUGUAGAACCUCUCAUCAUAAACCGGGUAAACAUGAGGUCGCGGUGGUGGUGGUGGUAGAUCCUGAACACCAUGAGCAAACUGCUGAGCUGGUCCGUGCUGCAGUGGAACCUGAGGAAGGGGAACCUGCUGAACGGGAUCCUGAUGAUCAUGCUGAGCGGGAAUCUGCUGAUCCUGCUGGACCUGAACCGGUGGAACUUGCUGAACCUGAAUCUGUGGACCCUGCUGCACCUGAACCUGAGGAGCCUGCUGAACUGCAGCCAUCUGACGAGCAACCUCCUGAGCAGCUACUCGGGCAACCUCCUGAGCGGCCUGCCUGGCUGCCUCCUGGGCAAUCUGCUGAAGUGCCUCCUGAGCGGCCUGUCUAGCGGCAUCCUGAACCAUCUGUCUCAAUGCAUCCUGAUCAACUGGUGGAGCCGCGGGUGGCGGAACUGCGGGCUGCUCAUGCUCAUCUAAAUCGUCUCUAACAGCUCUGGCGGUCUGGGCACGAGUGGUUCUUCUCCUUGGCGGCAUCUGAAAGGAAAGCGAAAUGUUAACUUACGCUCAACUUUCGAUACCAACAUUUAAGGAGAAGUGAUAUCGAACGGAAAGGUGCUAUUUAUUUUCGUUUACAAAAUUCCCAAAUCCCCGAAAAUAUUUGAAAUCAUCUAAAACCGUCUAAAACCGAAUAAAACCGAAUAAAACCAGGUCUCCAAAAAUCGCCAUCCCGGGUCGGAGCCGGGACAGAACCCCGCUCUGAUACCAAAACUGUGACGCCCGUCACUUUCGAAAUAAUAAUAAAAAUGAUGCGAUAAAUAAUAGUUUCUGAAAUCUUCAUUUAUAAAUAUAAAAGUCAACGUCCACGCUGUAAAUCCAUAAUAUAAAAUAACAUCCGAAAUAUAGAUAACGGUAUAAGUCCGAAAUAUAAAGACAACAUAAAUUCGUAAGUCUGAAAUAGGAAAUAACAUAAACGAUAAAAGCCCAAAGGCCUAAAAUCCCGAUAACGAUAAAAGCGAUAGAAGCCCAAAAGUCCAAUAGCACCGGUCCGAUAAUCACUCCUGCUCGUCGGUCUCACCUGAAAGGGGAAAGAAGGAGGGGUGAGCAACAGGGGAGUUGCCCAGCGAGGUAUGGGAUGCUAAACCGCAAACCACAGACUGAGUUCAUAGCACUACUAAAAUGUAGGCAUAGCUCUAGCAUGAAACAAACACGGUGCCUAUUACACCACACAGAACAAUCAAUAUGCGGCUAGAGGACUAGCCGUUACAACUCAUGCGCUUAUAGUACAUAGCUACUCUAUGCACCACGCAUCUCCUCAUAAGGAUAUAUACAUAUACUCGAAGCGUCGCUAGUACAGUCUGUCUCUGUACCCCCGCCCAUCGUAGCGUCAAAUGCAAACGUCUCUGCACCACGCCCCAAACAGUAGCGUCGAAGCUCAAACGUCUCUGAACUCACGCCCAUACCAUACCGUAGCGUCGAAGCUCAGACAUCUCUGAACUCACGCCCUCAUCACAUAAUCCCUACUCAUAACUAUGUAUAUACAUAUAUAUAGCAGUUCUUAGCAUCAAUCAUUUCACACAAUCGUUGAAUCCUCUAUUAUCCUAAUUCCGGUUAACAAUCAAUAUCAAUAAUGAACAAGCAAGACUCUCAAACAGACUCGAUUCACAGAGACGGAUCAUGUUUCGAAACUAAACUUUCCAUAAUGGUAGUACUAAACUAGCUCGGGAUUUAACGGAGUAGCCCUCACCUUAGCAAUAGGGAAAUGUGGUAUCUAUGAACUCCAGAUGCUCAAAUAGACUCCAAAUCUGAAAUCAGGGCGAAAAAUCGAGUCAGAACGCCUUUCGAACGGUUUAAAACGGGUCUGGUCAAGGUUUAUGGAAAAGUCAAUUCGAUGGUCAAAGGUCAAUCCGGUCAACCCUUGACCAGAAAUCAAUUUGUCCUAACCGACCGGUUUACCCUAACCGAAACGAAAUCAAUUUAAACCGGUCAAACCAGUCAAACCAGCGGUUAACCGAGUCAACCGAGUUGACUCACCGGGUCGACUCAGCCGAGUUGGCGAGUCGUCGGCGAGUCACCGGCGACGGUCACCGACGGCGACGGCGAUGGCUUACCGG